This 257-nucleotide ribosomal RNA is filed under the name uncultured prokaryote. RNAcentral describes it as "partial 16S ribosomal RNA". It matches the Rfam family "Bacterial small subunit ribosomal RNA", at positions 524 to 780 of the family's 1533-position model. The record is from RNAcentral.
UACGGAGGAUGUGAGCGUUAUCCGGAAUCAUUGGGUUUAAAGGGUGCGCAGGCGGGGGAUUAAGUCGGCGGUGAAAUUUUGCAGCUUAACUGUAACAGUGCCGUUGAUACUGGGGAGCUAGGAUUUGGUUGAUGUGGGUGGAAUGUGUGGUGUAGCGGUGAAACGCUUAGAGAUCACACAGAAUAUCGAUUGCGAAGGCAGCUCACAAAGCCAAGAUUGACGCUGAGGCACGAAAGUGUGGGGAUCAAACAGGAUUA